UACGUAGGGUGCAAGCGUUAAUCGGAAUUACUGGGCGUAAAGCGUGCGCAGGCGGUGAUGUAAGACAGUUGUGAAAUCCCCGGGCUCAACCUGGGAACUGCAUCUGUGACUGCAUCGCUGGAGUGCGGCAGAGGGGGAUGGAAUUCCGCGUGUAGCAGUGAAAUGCGUAGAUAUCGCUUGGAACGCCGACGGUGAAAACAGCUCGCUGGGGAUUCGCUGACGCUGAGACACGAAAGCCAGGGGAGCAAACGGG
Molecule: ribosomal RNA, 253 nt
Filed under: uncultured bacterium
Lineage: Bacteria
Description: partial 16S ribosomal RNA
Rfam family: Bacterial small subunit ribosomal RNA
Source: RNAcentral